GUGUCAGCCGCCGCGGUAAUACGAAGGGGGCUAGCGUUGCUCGGAAUCACUGGGCGUAAAGGGCGCGUAGGCGGCCGAUCAAGUCAGAGGUGAAAGCCCAGGGCUCAACCCUGGAAUUGCCUUUGAUACUGUUUGGCUAGAGACCGGAAGAGGUUAGUGGAACUGCGAGUGUAGAGGUGAAAUUCGUAGAUAUUCGCAAGAACACCAGUGGCGAAGGCGGCUAACUGGUCCGGUUCUGACGCUGAGGCGCGAAAGCGUGGGGAGCAAACAGGAUUAGAUACCCCGGUAGUCC
Molecule: ribosomal RNA, 292 nt
Filed under: uncultured bacterium
Lineage: Bacteria
Description: partial 16S ribosomal RNA
Rfam family: Bacterial small subunit ribosomal RNA
Source: RNAcentral